RNAcentral lists this ribosomal RNA (253 nucleotides) under uncultured bacterium. Its description in RNAcentral is "partial 16S ribosomal RNA". It matches the Rfam family "Bacterial small subunit ribosomal RNA", at positions 524 to 776 of the family's 1533-position model. The record is from RNAcentral.
UACGGAGGGAGCUAGCGUUGUUCGGAAUUACUGGGCGUAAAGCGCACGUAGGCGGAUCUUUAAGUCAGAGGUGAAAUCCCAAGGCUCAACCUUGGAACUGCCUUUGAUACUGGGAGCCUUGAGUUCGAGAGAGGUGAGUGGAACUGCGAGUGUAGAGGUGAAAUUCGUAGAUAUUCGCAAGAACACCAGUGGCGAAGGCGGCUCACUGGCUCGAUACUGACGCUGAGGUGCGAAAGCGUGGGGAGCAAACAGG